Molecule: ribosomal RNA, 253 nt
Filed under: uncultured bacterium
Lineage: Bacteria
Description: partial 16S ribosomal RNA
Rfam family: Bacterial small subunit ribosomal RNA
Source: RNAcentral
GACAGAGGAUGCAAGCGUUAUCCGGAAUUAUUGGGCGUAAAGAGUACGUAGGCGGCUUAUCAAGUCAGGGGUUAAAUCCCGCAGCUUAACUGCGGAUCGUCCUUUGAAACUGAUCGGCUAGAGUAUGGUAGGGGUAGAGGGAAUUCCCGGUGUAGCGGUGAAAUGCGUAGAUAUCGGGAAGAACACCUGUGGCGAAAGCGCUCUACUGGACCAUAACUGACGCUGAGGUACGAAAGCUAGGGGAGCGAAUGGG